Molecule: ribosomal RNA, 954 nt
Filed under: uncultured archaeon WCHA1-38
Lineage: Archaea; Thermoproteati; Thermoproteota
Description: bacterial SSU rRNA
Rfam family: Archaeal small subunit ribosomal RNA
Source: RNAcentral
AGCCAGCACCUCAAGUGGUCAGGAUGAUUAUUGGGCCUAAAGCAUCCGUAGCUCGUUUUGUAAGUUUUCGGUUAAAUCCAUGCGCUUAACGUAUGGGCUGCCGGGAAUACUGCAUAACUAGGAAGUGGGAGAGGUAGACGGUACUCGGUAGGAAGGGGUAAAAUCCUUUGAUCUAUCGAUGACCACCUGUGGCGAAAGCGGUCUACCAGAACACGUUCGACGGUGAGGGAUGAAAGCUGGGGGAGCAAACCGGAUUAGAUACCCGGGUAGUCCCAGCUGUAAACUAUGCAAACUCAGUGAUGCAUUGGCUUGUGGCCAAUGCAGUGCUGCAGGGAAGCCGUUAAGUUUGCCGCCUGGGAAGUACGUACGCAAGUAUGAAACUUAAAGGAAUUGGCGGGGGAGCACCACAAGGGGUGAAGCCUGCGGUUCAAUUGGAGUCAACGCCAGAAAUCUUACCCGGAGAGACAGCAGAAUGAAGGUCAAGCUGAAGACUUUACCAGACAAGCUGAGAGGUGGUGCAUGGCCGUCGCCAGCUCGUGCCGUGAGAUGUCCUGUUAAGUCAGGUAACGAGCGAGAUCCCUGCCUCUAGUUGCCACCAUUACUCUCAGGAGUAGUGGGGCGAAUUAGCGGGACCGCCGCAGUUAAUGCGGAGGAAGGAGGGGGCCACGGCAGGUCAGUAUGCCCCGAAACUCUGGGGCCACACGCGGGCUGCAAUGUAGUGACAAUUGGUUCCGAAUCCGAAAGGAGGAGGUAAUCCUCAAACGCUACCACAGUUAUGACUGAGGGCUGCAACUCGCCCUCACGAAUAUGGAAUCCCUAGUAACUGCGUGUCAUUAUCGCGCGGUGAAUACGUCCCUGCUCCUUGCACACACCGCCCGUCGUUUCAUUGAAGUUUGCUUUUAGCGAGGUGACGUCUGAUUGGCGUUAUCGAACUUGAGGUAAGUGACAAGGGAA